This is a long non-coding RNA of Mauremys mutica (yellowpond turtle), 2436 nucleotides long. RefSeq lists it as uncharacterized. NCBI's taxonomy places the organism in Eukaryota, Metazoa, Chordata, Testudines, Geoemydidae. The record is from RefSeq and is a predicted model, not a curated record. The transcript is spliced from 3 exons.
CCUGCUGGUGUCUGUGAUAAUGAGGGGUACUUAUGCAUACACUAGUUACACAUACCUUCGUCUAUUUAACCUAUCGGGAAGGAACACUGGUGUAAUCUGAAACAAUACAGUGUAGCCUACAUUAUUUUAAAAAAUAGUUCACCUAUUUAAUUCUCUUUGUAUUUGAUUUUAUUCGUGUUUUGCCAAAGUUACUGUCCUGAGCAAUGAUUGCAGUGAAUGCAGCACUCAACAUCUGGCAUGAAGGGUGAAUGAACGGCCUCCUCCAAGACCACUCUGAAGACUGGCUGACAAGAGUUGCUUGGGAAGAACUGAGUGCCACCACUCUCACUAUCUCCUCCCAGUGGCCAACAAGCCUCCUUUGCUAUGGGCUGAACUGCUCUGGCCUGGGAGUAUGAGACCUGAAGCUAUUCCUGAACUCAUGCCUUGUCAUUGUGGUGUCCUUGCUGCUAAUCCCUACAUCUAGCUGGCUGACCUUCAGCUUUCUCAUGCCGUUAUCUGUUGCGUAAUGAACUAGAAGCAGGCUCCAACCACUGCCUAAGCCCUUCAGUAAGAAGGGUGGAAUACUGCAAUGUCUCAAAACUAUGGUUUCAGCAAGCAUGUGUGAAAAUGUCAUUAGAAAGACUUCUCUGCAACAAGAUGGUUGCAUAGAGAACUGUGGGAGUCAGUAUCUACCAUCAUCACUACCAUGAUCUGAGCCUUUUAGGCUUCCUUUGGACCAGUUCUAGCAAAAGCUGACGACCGUUCUGUUUUGUGGAAACUUGUGAGGUUUAGACAUUUGUUUUCCUUCCAUAUUGGAACAACAUCAAACCCAUUAGAACAUUGUCCCAGAAAUGGAAUUGUGUCAAAAUGUCUGGGUUUGGAUCGAAACCUGAGCUAUUUGAGAAGUAAAUGUGCAUGGGUGCGUGCAUGCGUGCUCUUUCUUGUUGAAACACAUAUGUAUCUGUGAAACAGCCUAUUUCGCCAAAAUUUCAUUUAGCCAAAAAUGUCCCAACCAGCUCUAGUUCUUGCUGUUCCUACGUCUGCUUUGCUGUGUAGUGCCACUGAUGUGGCAAAAAAGCUCUCAGGCUGUUAGUGCAUGACUUAAUAAAUAUCCACAUUAGACAAAACAACUAUUUAUUAUGCAUACAAACAAACAUACAAUGGCAUACUUUCCUCCCCUCCCCUCUAACCAGUACUCCCAAUUCCAUAAAUGUGAAUGGUGAAAGCCCACCCCAGAUCAUCGGAGACUGCAACAAUGUUACACAAGCUGGUUUUUCCCCCAAGUUUUCUAAAUAUUUUCCAACUUCUAUUACACACUAUUGUCUUCAUGCUGUAAACUCUUGCCAGAACUCCCCCAUCAGCAUUCUUCACUGACUUUGCAAAUCAUUUUUAGACAGCAAACAAACCUUUUAAAGAGUCAUUCAUUUCUUCAAGAAAGCAUUUAUGUUUAUUAUAUAUGAAAUAAAAACAACUAGAAUGCACAUUUUACAACUCUCAGAUCUCCACUGAAAGCCAUAAACAAAACCUCCUGUGACAGGUCAGAAUUUUAUUCUCUUCUAUGCAUUUAAAUUUGGGAACAUACUUCUUACCUUCCAGAGCAACCAGGACACCCCUCUGUGUAUAAAGCAGUUUUAGCUGCUACCAACUCUACAUAACUUCACCUACACCUGGGAAUCACUGAAUUCUCAGUUGACUUAAUUCUUUAUCACUUCUCCAUUUGCCAGUUGUCCCCUCGCUUUUCUAUGGUAUAGCUCUUCUAUAUUUCUGCAUACAUAUUCUGUAUGGUAAGAUCACCACUUUAUACAACUAGCAAUGUACUGUUCCACUGUUUGCUAUUUGUCUUUUGAUCCUCCUCCUAUUUAUUGAUGGCAUUCUAAGAGGAGUCUAGUGGCUAAUGCACCAGGACUGGUGUCGCUAGAUUUGAGUUCUAUUCCUGACUGUGAAACAGUGAUGCUGUGUAAUUUUGGGCAAGCAGGUGAGUCAUGUAAGCCCGCACCUUCCAAAAUUGUCUCUGAUUUUGGGUUGUUUCCAUUUUUGGGCCCUCAGCUUGUUCCUACUUUCACUUAGAACAGUGCAGAUCCCUUGACUGCUGUGCAGUUGCUCCUGAUUUACACUGGGGUUGAGGAGAAUUGGGCACCUGGCCUCUGAUUUCCCAUUGACUUCAUGUGGAAUUUCUGGUGAGCAAAAUCACUGAAAAUAUGAACUUGGGUGUCUCAUGUUGGGCACCCAAGACUGAGGCAUCCAAAAUUAGAGACAGCUCCUGAAAAUCUUGGCUUUUCACUCUUUCUGUGUCAGUUGUUCCAAUUGUUUAAUACAAAUAUUUGAAUGCCUCAGUGGGAUGCUUUGAGAUCUUUGGAUGCAUAAAUAUCUUUGCUGCAGACAAGUGAAAUGUUCUUUAUAGUAAUAUGGGACAUUCACUGAUGUAUUUCAAAGUAAACGUCUAAACAGUUUCACAUA